AGUCAUUCCAGCUCCGCGGAUACUUGGUGCCGCCGCCGCCGCCGCCGCUGCUCAGCCGAGACCCCGGGGCUCUGCGGCUCAUUACCUUCCCCGACACGACAUGGCCAAGCGCCGCCGCCCAAAGAAGCGCGAGUCGCCGCCCGAACCGGCCGCCGCCGACACCCCGCUCCGGCCCGGGGCUGAGGAGGAAGCCGAGAAGGAGGAGGAGGAGGAGGAGGAGGAGAAGGAGGAGGCGGCGGAGGGCGGGGGAAGAGGACGGCCGUUCCGGGUUCCGCCUGAGCCCGCAGCGCAGGACGAGGAGGCGGGAGCGGCGCGCUCUGCAACCCAGAGAGUGACCUGCAUGGAGCGUGCCAGCUGAAUCCCUUGUCCUGUGUCUUCUGGCUGAGUUCUACCAUAGGAAACACCGC
RNAcentral lists this long non-coding RNA (407 nucleotides) under Homo sapiens (human). RNAcentral's name for it is "long non-coding RNA NONHSAT140863.2". The record is from RNAcentral. Lineage: Eukaryota; Metazoa; Chordata; Mammalia; Primates; Hominidae.